ACAGCAGCCGCCACGGGAAUACGUAGGGUGCAAGCGUUAAUCGGAAUUACUGGGCGUAAAGCGUGCGCAGGCGGUUAUAUAAGACAGAUGUGAAAUCCCCGGGCUCAACCUGGGAACUGCAUUUGUGACUGUAUAGCUAGAGUACGGCAGAGGGGGAUGGAAUUCCGCGUGUAGCAGUGAAAUGCGUAGAUAUGCGGAGGAACACCGAUGGCGAAGGCAAUCCCCUGGGCCUGUACUGACGCUCAUGCACGAAAGCGUGGGGAGCAAACAGGAUUAGAUACCCCGGUAGUCCCUGUCUCUUAUAC
RNAcentral lists this ribosomal RNA (305 nucleotides) under uncultured bacterium. Its description in RNAcentral is "partial 16S ribosomal RNA". It matches the Rfam family "Bacterial small subunit ribosomal RNA", at positions 508 to 807 of the family's 1533-position model. The record is from RNAcentral.